Molecule: non-coding RNA, 168 nt
Organism: Podarcis lilfordi (Lilford's wall lizard)
Lineage: Eukaryota; Metazoa; Chordata; Lepidosauria; Squamata; Lacertidae
Source: the annotation of a GenBank genome assembly
GCCAGUGUGGUGUAGUGGUUAGUGUCUCAGACUAGGACCUAGCAGACUAGGGUUCAAAUCCCCACUCAGACUCCUUGGGCCACUCACUGCCUCUCAACCUAGCCUACCUCCCAGGGUUGUCAAUCUGAAGACUGGUGGUUCGAGCCCACACAGCGAUGCCUGUGGGCA